CAGUGCUCUAUAGAGUUGUUUUGAGGGAAGGAGUUGAAACAGUUUAUGUUCGGGAUGCGAGGGGUCUGUAAAUAUUUUCGGGCAGUAUACAGGUCCUCGAUUGAAGGCAGACGAGAUGCCACAGGAAUUCAGAUGAGAGUACAGGUGGUGAGAGUUGCCAACAGAAAGGGAGGACGGAGCAGUGCGGUAGCUCGCAAAAUGGAAGUGUCGAACUAUCUAAUUCAGCGCAUUGAAAAAUCUUAUUAGGAAUAAUAAAAGAGAACCUUAGCAAAGCAGACAUCUACAUGGAAUCACAGCAGCAACAAUACUAUUCGUCCAAACUUGGAAAACAAAGGAAAUUCCAAAUGACAAUGCUAUAAUAAAG
Molecule: long non-coding RNA, 364 nt
Filed under: Naja naja (Indian cobra)
Lineage: Eukaryota; Metazoa; Chordata; Lepidosauria; Squamata; Elapidae
Description: lncRNA (ENSNNAG00000010805.1)
Source: RNAcentral